CUUGGGUGCAGGAGGGUGGAAGGGGAGGAGCCUGACCAGCAUUUGCAAGAUCCUGGCGCUCUAGUUCCUAAGGAUGGGCCACCAUGUUCAAUUCUCCCUUUAGGCUGUGGAGGUGGGUCCACUUCUAGGCUGGGAGUGGGGAGAGAGAAUGAAAUGAAAGAAACAGAGACUAGGAGACAGAGACAAAAGAAAUCAUACAAAGCCAGGGCAGGAAAAAGGAUAUGCUUGUUUUCCAGAGAAAUCAUUUCACCUUUACAGCCUUGGAAGGAUAAUGUCACCUUUUACAGAGCCUGGAUUUUGUCUGUUUUGCUUACUGCUGUAUCCCCAGAACCCAGAACAGUACCUGCCACAUAGUAGGAGC
RNAcentral lists this long non-coding RNA (361 nucleotides) under Heterocephalus glaber (naked mole-rat). RNAcentral describes it as "lncRNA (ENSHGLG00000038688.1)". Lineage: Eukaryota; Metazoa; Chordata; Mammalia; Rodentia; Bathyergidae. The record is from RNAcentral.